GCGACGCCGCGUGAGGGAUGACGGCCUUCGGGUUGUAAACCUCUUUCAGUAGGGAAGAAGCGAAAGUGACGGUACCUGCAGAAGAAGCGCCGGCUAACUACGUGCCAGCAGCCGCGGUAAUACGUAGGGCGCAAGCGUUAUCCGGAAUUAUUGGGCGUAAAGAGCUCGUAGGCGGUUUGUCGCGUCUGCCGUGAAAGUCCGGGGCUCAACUCCGGAUCUGCGGUGGGUACGGGCAGACUAGAGUGAUGUAGGGGAGACUGGAAUUCCUGGUGUAGCGGUGAAAUGCGCAGAUAUCAGGAGGAACACCGAUGGCGAAGGCAGGUCUCUGGGCAUUAACUGACGCUGAGGAGCGAAAGCAUGGGGAGCGAACAGGAUUAGAUACCCUGGUAGUCCAUGCCGUAAACGUUGGGCACUAGGUGUGGGGGACAUUCCACGUUUUCCGCGCCGUAGCUAACGCAUUAAGUGCCCCGCCUGGGGAGUACGGCCGCAAGGCUAAAACUCAAAGGAAUUGACGGGGGCCCGCACAAGCGGCGGAGCAUGCGGAUUAAUUCGAUGCAACGCGAAGAACCUUACCAAGGCUUGACAUGGACCGGACCGGGCUGGAAACAGUCCUUCCCCUUUGGGGCCGGUUCACAGGUGGUGCAUGGUUGUCGUCAGCUCGUGUCGUGAGAUGUUGGGUUAAGUCCCGCAACGAGCGCAACCCUCGUUCCAUGUUGCCAGCGCGUAAUGGCGGGGACUCAUGGGAGACUGCCGGGGUCAACUCGGAGGAAGGUGGGGACGACGUCAAAUCAUCAUGCCCCUUAUGUCUUGGGCUUCACGCAUGCUACAAUGGCCGGUACAAAGGGUUGCGAUACUGUGAGGUGGAGCUAAUCCCAAAAAGCCGGUCUCAGUUCGGAUUGGGGUCUGCAACUCGACCCCAUGAAGUCGGAGUCGCUAGUAUCGCAGAUCAGCAACGCUGCGGUGAUACGUUCCGGGUCUUGUACGACACCGCCCGUCAGUCA
RNAcentral lists this ribosomal RNA (1001 nucleotides) under Arthrobacter oryzae. Its description in RNAcentral is "bacterial SSU rRNA". It matches the Rfam family "Bacterial small subunit ribosomal RNA", at positions 391 to 1403 of the family's 1533-position model. Lineage: Bacteria; Bacillati; Actinomycetota; Actinomycetes; Micrococcales; Micrococcaceae. The record is from RNAcentral.